This is a long non-coding RNA of Paramormyrops kingsleyae, 276 nucleotides long. RefSeq lists it as uncharacterized. The record is from RefSeq and is a predicted model, not a curated record. Lineage: Eukaryota; Metazoa; Chordata; Actinopteri; Osteoglossiformes; Mormyridae.
ACCAGAGACUCCGACACAGCACUGGGAGAACCCGCCAACUCGACCUACACAGAGCAUCCGUGAGGUGUGCAGAGUCUGCGUGUUCACCUAUCUUCCAGGACUCCAGCUUCUGCCGCUCAUCCAGAACUAUGCGGUUUAAGCUUUUAGGAAUACAAAUGUGGAUUGAAGCCUCAGUAGCAGAUAAUCUGUCUAAGGGGAGCCUCAUCAAUCCCCAGAGGAUCCUGUUCUGUGCUUCACCAGGCCACAUUUUAGAACAUCACUUCAGGUGUAUCUGAG